Molecule: ribosomal RNA, 301 nt
Filed under: uncultured bacterium
Lineage: Bacteria
Description: partial 16S ribosomal RNA
Rfam family: Bacterial small subunit ribosomal RNA
Source: RNAcentral
CAGUAGCCGCGGGAAUACGAGGGGUGCAAGCGUUAUUCGGAUUGAUUGGGUGUAAAGGGUGUGCAGACGGCUUAUUAAGUCACUUGUUAAAUUCUUCGGCCUAACUGAAGGUCUGCAAGUGAUACUGAUGAGCUAGAGGGUGGAAGAGAGAGGUGGAAUUCUCGGAGUAGCGGUAAAAUGCGUGGAUCUCGAGAGGAACACCAAUGGCGAAGGCGACUCUCUGGUCUGUAACUGACGCUGAGGAGCGAAAGCGUGGGGAGCGAACAGGAUUAGAUACCCCCGUAGUCCCUGUCUCUUAUAC